RNAcentral lists this ribosomal RNA (448 nucleotides) under uncultured prokaryote. RNAcentral describes it as "bacterial SSU rRNA". It matches the Rfam family "Bacterial small subunit ribosomal RNA", at positions 355 to 796 of the family's 1533-position model. The record is from RNAcentral.
UGGGGAAUUUUGCGCAAUGGGCGAAAGCCUGACGCAGCGACGCCGCGUGAGUGAAGAAGGCCCUCGGGUUGUAAAACUCUGUGGGGAGAGACGAAUAAGUAUUGGUGAAUAUCCAAUGCGAUGACGGUAUCUCUUUAGCAAGCACCGGCUAACUCUGUGCCAGCAGCCGCGGUAAUACAGAGGGUGCAAACGUUGUUCGGAAUUACUGGGCGUAAAGCGUGUGUAGGCGGCUAAGCAAGUCGGAUGUGAAAGCCCUGAGCUCAACUUGGGAAGUGCACUCGAUACUGUUUAGCUAGAGUGUCGUAGAGGCUGGUGGAAUUCUCGGUGUAGAGGUGAAAUUCGUAGAUAUCGAGAGGAACAUCGGUGGCGAAGGCGGCCAGCUGGACGACUACUGACGCUGAGAUACGAAAGCGUGGGGAGCAAACAGGAUUAGAUACCCCCGUAGUCC